UGUGUGGUGGUAAACGGAGCCUUCCUCGAAGUUUGCCCGGGAGACCCAACCUAGGGGUGGGCCAGCCCUUGGCGCCUGAUCAGCAAUGACUGGCGUCGGGGUGCCUGGUCUGUCCACGGGUGCAUCUCUCUCGGGUGUUACGGUAGGAACUGUUGGGACUGGACCAAGGGCCUGGGAUGAAGUUCUCGCUCCGGCGUUAGCUCCCGGUGUCCCGGCUCCGGACCCGACAGGCCUAGUGGCCGACUUGUACAGCAAGCAACCCUUCUGUUGCGGUCGGUCCUUCCCUAUCGAGUAGGUCGGCGG
Molecule: ribosomal RNA, 303 nt
Filed under: Tortanus forcipatus
Lineage: Eukaryota; Metazoa; Arthropoda; Copepoda; Calanoida; Tortanidae
Description: partial 28S ribosomal RNA
Source: RNAcentral